Molecule: long non-coding RNA, 2641 nt
Organism: Felis catus (domestic cat)
Lineage: Eukaryota; Metazoa; Chordata; Mammalia; Carnivora; Felidae
Exons: 4
Source: RefSeq, a predicted model, not a curated record
AUCAUUGCCUGGUUCCUGGAGGACAAAAAAGCCAUAUGGCAGGAUGUCACUGGAUUAUCCAAGGAACAGGCUCCUGAAGACCCUGUUCAGGCCUCUGCCUAGUACCCAGAUUCUGGGAACAUUCAGCAUUGCCUGAGGAGAUGGAGAUGAUCCAGGAUGUCAGCAGUUCCCAUGUGAAGGAGGGUCAGCCAUGGGAGGAGAGCAGGACACAUCCUGUGCCAAUUUCCAGGGCCCGGGAAUUACACACAUAAAGUCUCCUGCUGUGUGGACCUGACCCUCCCACAUUCACUUCCUCACUGCCUCUCCCAUUCACUCCCUCAUUCACUCACCCCUCUCCUAAUUCAGCUGGUGACCUGUGGUCCCUGUCAUGUGCCCUGCAAGGUGACUCCAUCAGUGACCCAACAGGAUCCCCACAUGUAUCAUCUUCCUUUGCAGAGUCUGUACAUUCCUGUGCUGUUUCCCCUCUGACAAGGCUCAGGUCUGCAGGGUGACUAUGUCCCCCAGACCAACUGUGUUCCCAGGGCUCGAGGUCCUUGGGGUAUCCGUGCUCCCAGGCUGCCAGGAGAGGUUGCUACUGUGGGGAAGGCCUGAGCCAUCUGGCUGACCGCAGGGUCACAGAUGCUAUUCUUCUGCUUAGGUAGUUGGACUGCGGGGCCAUGAAGAGUCAUCAGCAAGAAUGCAGCACAUUGUUGGCUUCAGUUUCGCACAUCCAAGACAAAGAUUCUAACAGAACCUGACGCACACCGUUGUGCGGUCAAAGUGACAGUCCCCGAAAGAAGUCACCACUGAAGUAACAGAUGGUGUAUGACACAGAAACAUACAUGCAGGUGGAUUUGGAGGCAGUAAGGGAAGUUGUUCCAGCCAGGAUGGCUGUGAGAAUACUGAAGACACAGCAUGAGGUUGGAGAAGUCUCUGUCUCCAGACAAGACAGCCCAGGAGCAGGCAUGUCCCCAUGCCACAGGCAUUCAGCUUCCCUCAACACAAGCCACUGAGCAUAAAAAGAGCUUGGGAUAAAGAGUCACCCGCCAAGCCACCCAAAAACAAAAGAAGGACCAGGAACUUGUCAUGACGGACUGUGAAGAAAAAACUAGAGAAAACCAAGAAAAAAAAAAAGCUGGGACUGUGGGAAUUGAGUAUAGGAAUCCCUGAGCUUGUACCAAUGGGUUAACAAGGCUAAAGAUGAAAGCAUCCAAGAUUAGGUAAGCAGGGCAAAAGCACCCCAGCAUAGAACAAAGACACAGGAAUAGGAAGACACAGAGUGAAAGCAUCCAAGAUUACGUAAACAGGGCGAAAGCACCCCCAGCAUAGUACAAAAGCAGAAAGCUGCUUUCAGAAGAUGGAAGCUCCAGAAUAGGUAUACAGGUAAAGAGGGCUAAAGACAGCCUCAACAGGGUGAAAUCACCUGGAGCAGAGCUAACGAGCAACAGAAACCUGCCUUCUUAACUCUGAGGUAGCAUUCUCUGUCUUAUCCGUAGGUAAAUUAAGAUAAACAGACAAUGUGUCUCAUGCCUGCCAUAAACAGCCAGCUGCUGGAUGCCAGGAUUUUUUUUUUAUAUUGACCCAAACCCUAACACCACAUAACACAAAAACCUCCUUUCUCUCACACACGUAGGUUAAUAAUCACCUGCCAGGUGGCUUUUUAUGUCUUGUAGGCACCAGGCAAUAAUUUCACCUCAUCUCUCAGAGAAUCCAACAGACAACCCAUCAAGAAGUCCAAGUUAUGUCCUCCAGUCACAGAUGUGGAAACUAAGGCUAAUAGCACAGCCUGGGUUCACUAGUAAAACAAGCUAGGUGAGCAUCCCUGUACCCUUGACUUUCGAUUGUCCUAACCUCAGGCCUGUAUCUCAGCAUUCUGGAACUCAGAUCCCACCUCCUGGAGCACCCCACCCUCCUGCCAUGAGGACCCUCUGAACUCAGGGGAGCAGAGCUGUGCCAUCUGCCUGGGACCAGACAUGGUGGCUGGGAAAGGGAGGACCCUGGGCUCUGUAGGCUCUCCCAGUACAGGACCACCUGGGCUCUGUGGUCUCUCUUGAUACCAGAUGAGCUGGGCUCCAUGAACUCUCCUGGUACUGGACAGCUGCUCCCCUUCAGGUCAGGACUUCUCACUGUGGAUCUCCUGGGGCUUGGUUUCCUUAUGUUAUCAACUGACCUGCUGCUCCCCAGACCAUAAACCACCAUCUGAGGGUGAUCAGCACUGCCCCAUACGGUUUAAUUUGCCUGAAUCCCUUCCAGGAAAGUCCCACAUCUCUGACAACUGCUCCCCAUGGAAGUCGCCUCCCCUUGGACUUGCAUGUGUUUGCUCUUCAUCCCAGGAACACAUGGACUUUGGAGUAUUUUGGGAACAGAGGCCUGUGAAACGUUUCUCUAGAGUUGGGAUGUGAGUAACGCUUUCCCCCUAUAUGGUGUCACUGUCCAGCUUUCUGCAUUUCCUGCUUUAUGUUUUCACCACAUGGGCAACAACCAUGCCUUCUCUGGCAUCAGGCUGUGCUGUCACAGAAGGAACAGGGGCCUUUACCCCAAGGUUAUGACCAAUUUUACCAAAGGGGUCUAAUUUUUUCACAUCCAACUUUUGAUCCUUUGGGAAUUUCAAGAUCAAAUGAGAAAAGUUCUGUUUCAAAUAAACAGAAAAUACAAAAAUUAA